RNAcentral lists this transfer RNA (17 nucleotides) under Rhinella ocellata (ocellated toad). RNAcentral describes it as "partial tRNA-Ile". The record is from RNAcentral. Lineage: Eukaryota; Metazoa; Chordata; Amphibia; Anura; Bufonidae.
GGAAGCGUGCCUGAAAG